RNAcentral lists this ribosomal RNA (514 nucleotides) under uncultured microorganism. Its description in RNAcentral is "bacterial SSU rRNA". It matches the Rfam family "Bacterial small subunit ribosomal RNA", at positions 9 to 519 of the family's 1533-position model. The record is from RNAcentral.
GAGUUUGAUCCUGGCUCAGAUUGAACGCUGGCGGCAGGCCUAACACAUGCAAGUCGAGCGGAUGAAGGGAGCUUACUCCUGGAUUCAGCGGCGGACGGGUGAGUAAUGCCUAGGAAUCUGCCUGGUAGUGGGGGAUAACGUCCGGAAACGGGCGCUAAUACCGCAUACGUCCUGAGGGAGAAAGUGGGGGAUCUUCGGACCUCACGCUAUCAGAUGAGCCUAGGUCGGAUUAGCUAGUUGGUGGGGUAAAGGCCUACCAAGGCGACGAUCCGUAACUGGUCUGAGAGGAUGGUCAGUCACACUGGAACUGAGACACGGUCCAGACUCCUACGGGAGGCAGCAGUGGGAAUAUUGGACAAUGGGCGAAAGCCUGAUCCAGCCAUGCCGCGUGUGUGAAGAAGGUCUUCGGAUUGUAAAGCACUUUAAGUUGGGAGGAAGGGCAGUAAGUUAAUACCUUGCUGUUUUGACGUUACCAACAGAAUAAGCGCCGGCUAACUUCGUGCCAGCCGCCGCA